CCUACGGGGUGCAGCAGUCGAGAAUCAUUCACAAUGGGGGAAACCCUGAUGGUGCGACGCCGCGUGGGGGAAUGAAGGUCUUCGGAUUGUAAACCCCUGUCAUGUGGGAGCAAAUUAAAAAGAUAGUACCACAAGAGGAAUAGACGGCUAACUCUGUGCCAGCAGCCGCGGUAAUACAGAGGUCUCAAGCGUUGUUCGGAAUCACUGGGCGUAAAGCGUGCGUAGGCUGUUUCGUAAGUCGUGUGUGAAAGGCGAGGGCUCAACCCGCGGACGGCACAUGAUACUGCGAGACUAGAGUAAUGGAGGGGGAACCGGAAUUCUCGGUGUAGCAGUGAAAUGCGUAGAUAUCGAGAGGAACACUCGUGGCGAAGGCGGGUUCCUGGACAUUAACUGACGCUGAGGCACGAAGGCCAGGGGAGCGAAAGGGAUUAGAUACCCGAGUAGUC
Molecule: ribosomal RNA, 446 nt
Filed under: uncultured bacterium
Lineage: Bacteria
Description: partial 16S ribosomal RNA
Rfam family: Bacterial small subunit ribosomal RNA
Source: RNAcentral